AUACAAUGGUCGGAACAGUAGGGUUGCCAACCCGCGAGGGGGAGCUAAUCCCAGAAAACCGAUCGUAGUCCGGAUUGCACUCUGCAACUCGAGUGCAUGAAGCUGGAAUCGCUAGUAAUCGCGGAUCAGCAUGCCGCGGUGAAUACGUUCCCGGGUCUUGUACACACCGCCCGUCACACCAUGGGAGUGGGUUUUACCAGAAGUGGCUAGUCUAACCGCAAGGAGGACGGUCACCACGGUAGGAUUCAUGACUGGGGUGAAGUCGUAACAAGGUAGCCGUAUCGGAAGGUGCGGUUGGAUCACCUCC
This 307-nucleotide ribosomal RNA is filed under the name Burkholderia cepacia. RNAcentral's name for it is "partial 16S ribosomal RNA". It matches the Rfam family "Bacterial small subunit ribosomal RNA", at positions 1225 to 1530 of the family's 1533-position model. Lineage: Bacteria; Pseudomonadati; Pseudomonadota; Betaproteobacteria; Burkholderiales; Burkholderiaceae. The record is from RNAcentral.